RNAcentral lists this unclassified non-coding RNA (3766 nucleotides) under Haliotis rufescens (red abalone). RNAcentral describes it as "uncharacterized LOC124112313, transcript variant X2". The stretch from base 2167 to 2238 matches the Rfam family "tRNA". The record is from RNAcentral. Lineage: Eukaryota; Metazoa; Mollusca; Gastropoda; Lepetellida; Haliotidae.
UCUGUUUUGGCCUACAUUUUCCGGGGGAUCCCCGCCGGUGGGGACCAAGGCACUGCGCGCGGCACGGAAGCCAGCCUUUAUACUUGCAGAACAGGGCCGAAGAAGAUAGCGUGUUUCUUUCUCCGCUGAUGUUACGUUACAAAAAUGUAUUUCCAAACCCGUAUCCUCGACUCUACAGCGACAGUGUUCGUACUGAUGGCGCUGUUCAUCCUUGGUCUCCAGGUAACGCAGCCUCCGUCCUGCAAGUGUCCGCGGGGAUUCACUUACGCUCAGUGUAACUACACCAACAUGGUUUGUUUGACGCAGGCAUUUUUCGUAAACCAAGAAGCCAUCGUUCCCAACUCUGAGCGACCCGCGACUGAGCCGUCGGAUGACGUUACCGUUCACGAUGACGUUGUACAAGCUGACGUCGACGCGUUGAAGAGGGAGAUGACGUACAAUGAUGGUUUUGUGUCCGAGAUGUCCAAGUCAAAAUCUCAAGGUUUCAAACAUGCUUCUAUCACCAAGCAACAGAAGUUUCGCGUUGAAGUCGUGACAAGCAGUAAAGGACUUUAUUCCAAUUCUAUAAAUGAAUACGAUAUUUUGAGGUCAAAACUCAUUUUGUAUAACGCGUACGCUGUCAUCUUGAUAACUAUUGCGAUACUCUUGUCUCUACCUAAACUUGUCUGGAUAUGUACAUCCGUUGAGAAAGAUCUUACGUGUAUGUUGAAUACUUUCACAUACGCCGGAACAAAAGAUGGCAUAGGAUCACGACAAAGAUGCGUUGAACAGUUAGUUGGAGAUAUGAAAUUCUUCCUAAGAUCUUGUCAAGGCAGUUUCUACAAGAACAUUCUGUGGAUGCACGUUCUCAGACCUCUGAUUCCAUUCCUAGUUCCGGUGGCCAUGACCUUCAUACCUGGGGUCAAUGCCCAAGAAACCUUCACCUUGAACCCCAUGACGUUAAUGUCAAAUCUGCACAACCAAAGCGUGACUGUGUUUCCCUCAAAUGCCUUCUGUCAGUUUCAAGUCAUAAGCAGGUCUACCCCAAAGUGGGUGUCUACAACUUGUCUUCUGCCUGUUAGCGAAUUGCUUCAGAUUCUGACGCCAGUACUUAUUGUUUGGCUGGCGGCUGUGUCCAUAUUUGGUUUGUACAAAUACUACUCGUUUAGCAAUCUCAUGUCGUUAGCCAAUCAGAAAUCGUUUUAUGGAAGGCAUGGUCUGAGAAUGGACAAGGAAGAUCCAACAUCCUUACAGAGCGUGUUCGGCAAUGACGGCUUCUUACUGUUCACAAUUGUCUCGGAACUCGAUAAAGGCCAAAUUUUACCUCAAGUAAUGAACGAUCUGAAAGCAUGCAUGGAUAAUCUAAUAGAAAGAUAACAGAUAUGUCCACAUAUCGGUGUCACCUGCAGCAAAUGUCUUCCUUGCCGGGACAAACAAGCGUCCCAUGAUGUCAUUCCACACUCUUUGGAUCACAUUCGUGACAAACUCGUGUUAUUCCUUGACAAGCCGAAAAGCGACUCGUGUCCCUCUCGUGGCCAUUUUUGCGACUGGGUUCCGUCUAAGCGCAAACGGGGAUUGCUAAAACAAUUGUUCUGAUUCACGUAUAUUUCCCCCAUAUGUCAUAUGUAUUCCAGAUGCUAUUUAAAACACAUCGCGACUAACGGUAUUUUACAGUCUGAUUUAAGAAAUUUAACUGUGUCUUCGGUAUCUUGGCAAGACAUAUGUAAAAUCAAAUUAUAUUUCUGAGGGGUUCUUGGCCCGAAGUACUUGAAGUCAUACGCGCAUUCUGAUUGGUUUGUCGUAUUUCAUCGACAGGGGCACGAGUCUUCUUGCAGGUUACGGAAAGGUGCGAGUGGUGACGAAUGUUUGGAUCACUGAUUUUGGGAUGGGGUGUUUAGCAAGGAUGCAUUUUCACUGACGUUUAAUUCAUGUCGAGAUCUAUCAUUGAUUAAAGUGGAAAAGUCCAACUUCGACAAAACCUGUGUGUCGAGAUACGACAAAAAAUGUGUCGAGAUAUAACUUGACAAUCAUUGUAUCAUUGUUCUAUAUUAGUCAUUGUUUCAAUGAAUGAACUUGGAAUGAUAUUGUUUAAUAUUGCUGCGGUGGUUGUGUAUUUUCUCUUUCAUUUGUGGUAGGUUUGUGUAUCGACUAUGAAAUUACUUUGAACAUACGUUCAACACUGGGGGCGGUCGGGUAGCCUAGUGGUUAAAGCGUUCGCUCGUCACGCCGAAGACCCGGGUUCGAUUCCCGACAUGGGUACAAUGUGUGAAGCCCAUUUCUGGUGUCCCCCCGCCGUGAUAUUGCUGGAAUAUUGCUAAAAGCGGCGUAAAACCAUACCCACUCACUCACUUCAACACUGACUCGCGCUGAUAACAUUCGUGAUGUGACAUUGUAUAUAUAUUUCAUGACACAGUAACGAGAGACUUCUUUGCCAUCCGAGAGCUAUUACAUGUCACGCGGUGCAUAAUCAUCCUUAUUUUGACGAUUUAUUAAGUAUCCGUGAACGCUAGUUGUGUGACGUGAAUAUCCCGACAAUCUUCCCACACGAAAUCUGUAACAUGCGGAAAUAGCUCGAUCGUGGUAAUUGUCAUUUUGGGGGAGAACUGGUUCAGCUUAGUGGUAAAAGCGUUCGCGCGUCACGCCGAAGGCCCGAGUUCGCUUUCCCAAGUGCACAAUGUAUUCAGAAAUAUAUUCAGAUGAAUAUAAGCCCAUUUCUGGUGUUCCCCGCCGUGAUAUGGAUAGGAUGUUGUUAAAGGCGGCGUGGAAUCAUACUCACUCACUCAUUCUGUUUGGCUAGCUCGUCUCUUACUUGCUGUUCACAUCAUACCCAAACCUAACUGUGAGGCUUACUGCACCCGAACCCACCCCCACCUCCCCUCUUAAGGGUUGUGAAUUUAGCUGGAAGUUGUAUGUCAUAACGGUAUUGCAUCAUUCAGGUUCAACGAUACACGGUUUUCUUUACAAAUUUUGUGAUGUGUCUUUCAUAAAUUAAAUGAUGUUUAUAUUAGAAUUUAAGUGCUUUCCCGUGAAGACUGUUGCUUACGUUCUAAUUUAUGAUCGGUGAUUAAAGAUAAUUUCUGUAUUUAUGAUAAUUAAAAGUAUUUUGUAUCUAUUAUGUACAGGGGCGGUCGGGUAGCCUAGUGGUUAAAGAGUUCGCGCGUCACGCCGAAGGCCCGAGUUCGCUUUCCCAAGUGCACAAUGUUAUGAGCCCAUUUCUAGUGUUCCCCGCCGUGAUAUGGAUAGGAUGUUGUUAAAGGUGGCGUGGAAUCAUACUCACUCACUCAUUCUGUUUGGCUAGCUCGUCUCUUACUUGCUGUUCACAUCAUACUCAAACCUAACUGUGAAGCUUACUGCACCCCCGCCCCCACCUCCCCUCUCAAGGGUUGUGAAUUUAGCUGGAAGUUGUAUGUCAUAACGUUACAUCUUCCCGAGGCAAGAGAGUUAACAACCUUGGUGGAAACGGGACUUUUAAAGUCAGUUAGCUCUCUUGCCUCGGGAAGGUGUGACGUUAUUGCAUCAGUCAGUUUCAACGAUACACGGUUUUCUUUACAAAUUUUGUGAUGUGUCUUUCAUAAAUUAAAUUAUGUUUAUAUUAGAAUUUAAGUGCUUUCCCGUGAAGACCGUUGCUUACGUUUUAAUUUAUGAUCGGUGAUUUCUGUAUUUCUGAUAAUCAAAAGUAUACAUUUUGUAUCUAUUAUGUACAUGUACACUUGUGUGUAUUUUCCAUAGAUGUUUUUUUUGCACAUUAUUAUCGCGGCUGUUGAAAUAAAGACAUUCGUAAACCAUA